CACACAAAAUCUUUGCUGUAGUAUACCUGGCAAAAAUAACUGAUUCUAAUCAUGAGAAAACAUCAGAGGAAAGCAAAUCUAGGGACAUUUAAAAAAAUUGUUGACCAAUAAUUUUCAAAAGUGUCAAAGCCAAGGGUUUGCGAAGGAACAUGGAAGGGCAGAGAGCAUGGGACAAGGAAUAGAUAUACCAGGCUGACUACUCAGCUUUAAAGAACUUAUAGGCUUUGCUCUCCAAGCACAUGGGCUUGGACCUCACCAAAAAAAUCCUCACUCCCCAACUGCCUAGAAAGACUUUGCCCCACCCCUACGGUGCGACCCUGCCUCCUCCACCAGUUAAGCCAGCCACCACAUUUCCCACCACCUGCUCCGCUGGGUGCCCUGGGACCCCCUGGCGCACUAAUGACCUCCAGGCCUUCUGGGCAGACCUUGCCAAAGCGCCUGGGCCCUCCCCAUGGCUCCGCCCACAUCCCAGCUCCUCCUCCCCCGACAUGCACUUCCCGCGAUGCCUCGGUGCAGCCCUCGGCGAAGCCCAGCGCAGCUCAGCUAAGCUCAGCGGGGCGAGCGCAGCGACGGACGGUCGGGUGCAGCUGAUAAAGGCCCCCCUGGCCUGGCCCCUCCAGCCCGCGUGCGUCGCUGGAGGAACCCAAUUCCCUUUCCCGAGACGUUUGACGGCGAUACCGACCGGCUCCCGGAGUUCAUCGUGCAGACGGGCUCCUACAUGUUCGUGGACAAGAACACGUUCUCCAACGACGCCCUGAAGGUGACGUUCCUCAUCACCCGCCUCACGGGGCCCGCCCUGCAGUGGGUGAUCCCCUACAUCAAGAAGGAGAGCCCCCUCCUCAGUGAUUACCGGGGCUUCCUGGCUGAGAUGAAGCGGGUCUUUGAAUGGGAGGAGGACGGAGGACGAGGACUUCUAGGCCGGGAGACCCUCGGGCCUGGGGGCGGGUGUUCUGGGGAGGGUCCGCUGUGCCAGUGGCCACCGCUAGGGUCUCCACAGGCGCCCUCCCUCCGGGCCUCCCUCCCCCUCGAGCCGCCGCGAUGUCCCCUGCGCUCCUGUCCCCUCUCGUGUAGUGCUUGCCUUUGUUCCAGGAAUAGUGCUCCAGGCUCCUGCUGCCGCCCCUGGGCCUCAUUCUGGAGCGGGCUGCCUCCGCCCUCUCGUGCCAGCCCAGCCCCUCCCAUGCACAUUUGGACGCUGUCCUGUGCUCCAGUUGCACAAAGCUGAGCUCCUGUUACACACUGGACAGACCACUGACAGCCGCCACUGCCAACACCCCUCCUCCUCACCAGACUUCCAGACGACUACAUCAUGCUGCCCACAGACCUGCACUGCCCUGCCAUCGCCAUCCAUCGCAUCCCACCGACAGACUGCUGCUUCUAGUGAUCUGUACUCACCUCGGAGCUAUCUGGGCUGGACACAGCCCCUGGACAAUGAUCCAGACAGCUGGCUGCCCCUCAAGGGGCCUGUUACCUUCAGCGAGACCCAUUUCCUCCCCAAUCCCAGAGACUUUUUGUGCUCCUGCCACAUGGCUGCCAGGGCUCAGUUGUACCUGGCAGCCAAAUCGAGUCUCUCAUUUUAUCUUGUGGACCAGUUAGUUUUGCCCAGAAUCCAUUUCUCUUCUGAAUUUGCAGCAUUUUCUCAGGUGCUUUUUGAUCAACAAAAUAACUUGUAUCUUCUGCUCAACUCCUUUAUACUACCUGGAGAAAAGUAUUUUCCAUAUUUUCAAUAAAUGUCAGACACUAUUGAGAAAGAAA
This is an RNA transcript of Nomascus leucogenys (northern white-cheeked gibbon), 1752 nucleotides long. RefSeq lists it as uncharacterized. Lineage: Eukaryota; Metazoa; Chordata; Mammalia; Primates; Hylobatidae. The transcript has a single exon. The record is from RefSeq and is a predicted model, not a curated record.